GAGAAAAAGAAAGCGCCAGAACCAACGGUGAAGUUCGAGAUCCGAAGUGCGAAGUUCGGGGACGGAAGUUUAGAGGAUAGAAAUCCGAGGAUGGAAGCUCGAUGAGAGAAGUCCGGGGAUGGAAGUCCUGGGAUGGGAACCCAAGGGCGGAAGCUCAGGGUUCGAAGCCCGGGUUCAGAAAUCGGGGGCAGCGGAUCGCGGUGUCGGGGUCUCGGGGUCUCGGGGUCGGAGAUCGAAGACUGAGUUGGUUGACGAGGAAGAGGGUUAUCGAAGGUUUCGGCGGAUCCCUCUCGGUGGCUUGCCAUCGUUAAGUUUGCCACAAAACCGGGGAGCAAUUCCCGUGACAAAAAGCAAACCCGCAAGACAA
RNAcentral lists this non-coding RNA (367 nucleotides) under Peptococcaceae bacterium CEB3. RNAcentral describes it as "Desulfitobacterium sp. enrichment culture clone CEB3 glmS glucosamine-6-phosphate activated ribozyme aptamer". It matches the Rfam family "glmS glucosamine-6-phosphate activated ribozyme aptamer". From Rfam's summary of the family: This entry contains a glucosamine-6-phosphate activated ribozyme that is found in the mRNA for GlmS. Lineage: Bacteria; Bacillati; Bacillota; Clostridia; Eubacteriales; Peptococcaceae. RNAcentral also lists the same sequence under 1 other name. The record is from Rfam by way of RNAcentral.